Molecule: long non-coding RNA, 2239 nt
Organism: Cygnus olor (mute swan)
Lineage: Eukaryota; Metazoa; Chordata; Aves; Anseriformes; Anatidae
Exons: 5
Source: RefSeq, a predicted model, not a curated record
GGCACCCAGCAUGGUGAAGAACCCUGCUGGCCAGCCCGAAGUGAAAGAGCUCAGCAGCAGGAUCAUCAAGUAUUUUUUCUGGGCUUUCCCAAAGUCCUAGUGGGCUGGCUCAUAAAUUCCUUCAGCAGAUUCCUUUUAUUCCUAGCCUUCCCCCCAGUCCCUUUGGGAGCAGCUGCUGCACAUGACAAUUUUGUCAAAGCCUGAGAAUGGCAGACAGCCACUGGCCAGCCCAGAGGAGCGCGUGGCCUCCGCCGCAGCACAUCUGGGUAAAAACAGCGUAAACCUGGUUGGGACGUCUGCAGUUCAACCAGCAGCCCCACCAAGGGCAGGAAGAGCUCGAGGGCCCUGCUCCUCCUGCAUUCUGCACCCCUCGGAUGGAGCCGCUCCAUUCCAAAGGCAAGUGGUAUACGAAGAACAUGUGCCGUGGCCUGCCUUCAGGUAUUCAUUGCCUCCUCUGCCUAGCUGAGCCCUGGCUGGCAUUAUGGGCACUGAGGAGAUAUGGGGGAGGACAAGCAGAAGGGUCAGGGAGGAUGUCAGGUUCAGGAUCUUUCCUUCUUUCUUUCUUUCUUUCUUUCUUUCUUUCUUUCUUUCUAGUAUAGGCAUUUGCAUAAAAAUCAUGUCAUGCUGAAAAGAAGGACUGUGUAUGUGAUGUCACCUCAGUGUAUGUGACUGGACGCACAAAAACCCAAGGUUCUCUGGUUGCAUAGGGUGGUAACAGCUGGCAUGCAAUCUCCUCAUGUGAACAUAAAAGCUCUCAUAGGUCAGGGCUCUGAAAGAGAAGAACCCUUUUACCAGCCAGGCCUUUUUGUCAAGACACAGAGGAAAAAAAUUGCUUUAUUCUAGUGGUUAAAUUACAGCACAUGAAAAUCACCACAAUAAAGCAUCGUCCUUAUCUUUACAGCCUGAGUCACCAAGAGGACCCAGUUUAGCCCUUCGGGAAGCUGCUGGUGGCACUGGAUUUUCGGCAGGGAUUCAUGUCACCCUGAAUGAGUAAACUGAGUCCUGCUGGUUGAGCUGCUCAACAAGUUAUCACCCACAACCUGCAUGGAGAACACAGGAAAUGUCCUAUGUAGGAGCAUGCUGAGAUAUGUUCCAGCUGGGCUGGCAGUGGCUGCUGCUCUUCCCCAGGAAGAAGAACUUCAGGUUGCAGCAGGAAGUGAACAGAGCCAGCAGAAAGCAUGGGGACAAUCAGGAGUAUGUGUAUCAGAGGACACCACACAUUACAGUGACAUCCCAGGUCACAUUCCAGCACCACGCUGCAUAACAAAUAGGAAACGUUCCUGUGUGCGUCCUGGUGCUUCGCAAGUCCCUGUGCCAGUGAGAGAGUGUGGUUAUCCAAAAACAGACAACCUCAGUGAUGUUGUGGAAGGAGGAGUGAAGUGAGUGAACUCAGAGAAGUUUGGAGGCUUGUCCCUAACCACGUGCCAGCUCUUUGGUGCCCCCGAGGCAGAACCAAGUCAGGAGUGCAGCCAGUCAUCCCUCAGACCGCUGCCAUGUGCUCAAGUCAAACUGCUACAGACUCCAAGAUGGUCUCCAGCACAGGAUUCCCAAACUGUGCUCAGCAGACCUAAGGCUAUGUGAGGAUGUUUGGCCUGAUGAACCAAUGUUCAUUUCCAUUUUUGAGGAAUGCAGCUGAUGAAAGUAAGAUAAAACUAAGAGGAAAAGAAAAUCUAAAGGAAGUUUAAAAAGCAUGCAUAUUUUUAUAACAAUUCUUCCAUACAUUAGUGGCUGUACCAGCAACAGAGGUAUAAUGUGAUCUGAGUUGAAAAGGAAUAGGACUUGACAUUGAGUGAGAAAAGAGGUCAUGGCAUGAUCUCUGUGUGGUGGUGUCAUCAAUAGUACUGAACAGACAGCAUGGUGAGCAGUGGGACUUGAGGUGGGACACCUUCCCUGCACGGGCUCUCUGCUGCCUGGCACCCAUACUGCCCUUUCCGUGUGGACUUCCUCAGCUGAGUGCUAAUUUGGACAUCUCUUGUAGUCAUUAAGUUGGAAAACAUAAACAUUGUUGGUGUCUCAAUCUCAUUAUAUUCAGCUGAAGCUGAUCUAUGGUUACAAAUGUUAGAGCGAGAUGAGGUGAGCCAGCUUUCUUCAAGAAGCCAAGAUAAAAGAGGUGAGACUGUCAGCCAACAAAAUUAGGGAAAGUUAAACUUCACUUAUCUCUCUGAUGAAAAGCAAGCACAAUAAAUCUUUCAGAAAGAAAAACAAAACAAUGGUGCUCUGUGUUGUUAAGCAUUUUACA